This 561-nucleotide ribosomal RNA is filed under the name uncultured bacterium. RNAcentral describes it as "bacterial SSU rRNA". It matches the Rfam family "Bacterial small subunit ribosomal RNA", at positions 28 to 599 of the family's 1533-position model. The record is from RNAcentral.
AGUGAACGCUGGCGGCGUGCUUAACACAUGCAAGUCGAACGAGAACGGGCUAUAGCUUGCUAUAGUUGUCAGCUAAGUGGCGCACGGGUGAGUAAUGUAUAGGUAAUAUGCCUCUUACUAAGGGAUAACAAAUGGAAACGUUUGCUAAUACCUUAUACUCCUUAUUAACAGAAGUUAAUAAGGGAAAGAUUUAUUGGUAAGAGAUUAGCCUGUAUUGUAUCAGUUAGUUGGUGGGGUAAUGGCUUACCAAGACUAUGACACAUAACUGGUUUGAGAGGAUGAUCAGUCACACUGGAACUGAGACACGGUCCAGACUCCUACGGGAGGCAGCAGUGGGGAAUAUUGCACAAUGGACGGAAGUCUGAUGCAGCAACGCCGCGUGGAGGAUGACACAUUUCGGUGCGUAAACUCCUUUUAUAUAAGAAGAUAAUGACGGUAUUAUAUGAAGAAGCACCGGCUAACUCCGUGCCAGCAGCCGCGGUAAUACGGANGGUGCAAGCCGUUAAUCGGAAUCACUGGGCGUAAAGCGCACGUAAGCGGCACGGUCAGUCUGCUGUGAAA